UUUGCAUUGUUUUCAUGAGACUCAUCUGAUCAUGGCAUUAUAAUGCAUGUCAAAAUAGUUUAGGAUGCAGUUCUGUCCAGGAACAUGUAUUUACUUCUCAUGCUUGUGCUAGUGAUAGAAAUAGUGAUGCAUGCUCAUAUUCAUCUCAUGCAUCAUGUGCCUGUUGCAUAUUGAGGUUCUGUUGUUCAUUGGAUGUUAUUCUUAUGUUGGGUAGCACCGGGAUCGUAGAACGAGUAAGUGGAUUCGGGAGAGUACGUGCAGGACGAUCAAGAACCAAUCCAGCUGAG
RNAcentral lists this long non-coding RNA (287 nucleotides) under Hordeum vulgare. Its description in RNAcentral is "long non-coding RNA (HVUL_LNC001002)". Lineage: Eukaryota; Viridiplantae; Streptophyta; Magnoliopsida; Poales; Poaceae. The record is from RNAcentral.